This 1620-nucleotide long non-coding RNA is filed under the name Anas platyrhynchos platyrhynchos (common mallard). RNAcentral describes it as "lncRNA (ENSAPLG00000029912.1)". The record is from RNAcentral. Lineage: Eukaryota; Metazoa; Chordata; Aves; Anseriformes; Anatidae.
CAAUGUGAAGUAGGAUGGUUUCAGUUUGCCGAGAGCUAGUCCCUAACUGAAUUUUCAGAGGCUUGUAAUGUGAGAAAAUAUUCUACGUGGAACAUAAUGUUAAGAGAUGCUGCUUUGUAGUCUUCAACUUCCUUAUGGUGGAAGAAGAAGCAGGAAUUGUGAAAUCUAAUGCUUGGUGGCCUCAGCCCAGCGCUAUUGGAAAUCAUCAUGACUCUUUCCAUUGACUUUAUUGGGCAAUGGCUCUGGUUACCAUGAAUUAUUUGAGACGUGGCAACACUGAUGGUUUACAAAUACUUCCUUUUUCCUACUUGAGAGGAGAAAAGGGAAUGCAGGAUGCCCUGAAUCAUCUAGUCCUAUCCACCCUUGCCACCCAACGGUCAAGGUGUCAAAUUUACACCCGUGCUUCUUUGAGAGGAAGCUUCAGCAGCUUUUCCACACGUGCUGCUUCCUUCCUGCAUGGUUUGGGAAAUGCUGAACCUAGUGCAGCCCAAAAAGCAUCUGCUGGUGCCCCUGCUCACUGCACAGCGCAGCUGUCGGCAUGCACAACAUCACCCUAAAAACACAUAGCAGGGACACUCCUUGCAGAAAAAUGGAAGAUGUGUACCUAGGAAAAAUACUGGUAAGACACUGAGAAUGAAUAGUUUGACCUCCUUCUGCUUCCAUGGUCUGAUUGCACAGAAUUGGGGCUAGCUGAUAUAAUGGCUCUUGAUGUUCAUUGACAGUCGAAUCCUUUGAACAAUGAAAUACUAGUUAGGCUGAAAUGCUUAAUGAAUCUUGGCUGACUAGCCAAGUCAGCUAUAGAGGCACUUUCUUGUCAGUAUUUUUGAGUUUUAAAAGCAAAUACCUGACCUGCUGUUUUGUUUUGACCCUGAAAAUGAGUGACUUUUCUCUUAUGACUCAACCUUUGUAAUCAGCUGAAUCCCCAUAGUCUGGAUACAGCCAGCUUUACGCUAUGUUAUCUGACCGGACAGGACUCAGGUGCCUGUAAGAGAGCUAUUUACAGCAGGCCAGCAGUGCAGAAUCCCAAAUCCAGAGUUACAGGCUCAACCUCCUUAUAUUGGAUGAGUUAGCUUUGUUAGAAUUACAGUCUAAAAAUCCAGUAUACUGAACAACAAAAUACUGAUGCCUAAACAAUAAGACAGGAGAGAAGGAGGCAAUUCUGACUCUCAAGAGUUGAGCUGGUUGUGAAACAAAGCUGCAGAUAGGCAUUUCCUGCUCAAACUGCAGAGUUCCCUUCUGCACAUAUGGAUCAGCGUAAAAGAAUGAGAUCCAGGUUGCAGAUUUUUUUCCUCUGAUUUUAAAUUGCAUUAUUUAUUUAUUUAUUCAUUUUCCCUGCACAAGCAAGAACAGUGACCUGAAAGUCUCUCCUUCCAGGUUAACUUGCUAUGUGGUAGGACUCUGGAGAAAUAUUCUCUCUCAUGCUGGAUGCUCCUCUUCAAGAAAUCGUGUAAUCCUUCCUUUAGUUCACAUGAAAAGAGUCACCUGGUUUCAAAGUUCUUGCAUGAGUGACAUAAAAGGUAUUUUCAUGUAGAUCUGAAGUGUUAGCAUGCAGGCUAAGCAAGCAGUGAAGUCUAAGUCUAAUCAAGUUCAAUAAAAUAUUAACAAUUUUGUUAGUAAGCA